Molecule: transfer RNA, 74 nt
Filed under: Candidatus Omnitrophota bacterium
Lineage: Bacteria; Pseudomonadati; Candidatus Omnitrophota
Description: Candidatus Omnitrophica bacterium (sediment metagenome) tRNA-Gln
Rfam family: tRNA
About the family: Transfer RNA (tRNA) molecules are approximately 80 nucleotides in length. Their secondary structure includes four short double-helical elements and three loops (D, anti-codon, and T loops).
Source: RNAcentral
UGGCGGGUUGUGUAACGGUAGCACAGCAGCUUUUGGAGCUGUUUGUCGGGGUUCGAAUCCCUGCCCGCCAGCCA